UAGCUGUCGCAUUGGGACCUGGAUGACU
This 28-nucleotide non-coding RNA is filed under the name Bombyx mori (domestic silkworm). Lineage: Eukaryota; Metazoa; Arthropoda; Insecta; Lepidoptera; Bombycidae. The record is from RNAcentral.